This is a long non-coding RNA of Sceloporus undulatus (fence lizard), 5418 nucleotides long. RefSeq lists it as uncharacterized. The transcript has 3 exons. The record is from RefSeq and is a predicted model, not a curated record. NCBI's taxonomy places the organism in Eukaryota, Metazoa, Chordata, Lepidosauria, Squamata, Phrynosomatidae.
CAUGGAUUUUGUUCUACAUGGGGGAUGUUGGAACCAAACCCCAGCGUAUAACAAGGGCCCACUGUAUUUCUUCCAUUCUGUGCUGCCAUGAACAGAAUCACUGUUUAGUCUUUUUCUGACCACUGGGUCAGGAAGACUCCCAUCAGAUAAAACAGCAAUGGCCUUCAGAUCCUUGAAUAUUACUCUUGUUUUGUUUUGUUUUGUUUUGUUUUUUUGUGACAGUAGAAGACACACUGGUCCUUGCAGAAAUUUUUGGUAGGAUGACCACUGCUGAGUGGAGUAUUCAUCUUGAACCUUCUGCAUUUUUUGAUUACCUGACAAAGUUUCUAUUCGUUUUAGAUGGUGGGUCCUCCCAAAUUCACCCUUGAAGAGUUACCAGCACAAUUCAGCACUUAAUUCAGUUAAUUUCCUUUAAUGGAGUUGAUGCAACAAAUGUUUCCCUUACAACUCUUAUGUAUUCAUCACAUAUUUUACACAAUGUUUUACUUCACAAAGCACAAAAUUGGUUAAUAUAAACGAUUGGAUAGUUAUGAACGGAUUUGGAUUGAUUCAUGUAGGCUUUCACUGUAAAACUAUGGCAUUGCCAUAAUUAUCAUCAGAUUUCACAAACUCUUUCUCACCAAUGUAAAAACAAAGUGAACAUUUUGCUUCCCAGAUAAGUUACAACAACAACAAAAAAAGUUUCCUGGGUGGUGUCACUUAGUGUCUUCUAGGAAUAAAUAAUUCAAAAAGCAACAGUGUAGGACAUGAAUAAAGAUAAAGUUUGGUAUGUUUAUCUUGGAAGCCUUUCCCACCUCUAUUGUUGGCUACUGCUUUCUCCCCUGGAAGCUAAUCCCCUAGACAAAGAAACUAGGCUAGGCUACACAGUGAAGAAAACCCCUAACCUUGACUGACUCCUACGGGUCAUUUUUCCCAAUGGAAAACUCCUGCUACACAAAGAUAUUAAGCUGACAUGAAGCCAUGCUCUUGAGACAGGAUUCUGACACCCAACUGUUACUUGACGUUUUCUGUUUUGCUAAUUUAAAUUCCUGUUUUAUAAGCAUGUGAUGUUAUGGAAAUCUGAAAUUAAAUCACAGAAAAUUAGAGCUGGCAAAGUUGCUUCUGGAAAGUUAGAAUUCCAUUAAACAUUUUGGAAAACCUAUCAAUACAAUAUAGAGAACAGUUAGCCCUAUUUUGUCUACAAGUCCAUCAUGGUACAGAAACUAGCCCAUGUGAAUUUUAUAGUUAACAAACUGUUCAUUCCACUUAAAAUAUUCUAGUUGUUAUGUGACCCUGAAAGUUGGUAUAUGAAAAUAGUUGUGCUGCUAUGAAAGGAGUUGCCAUAUGGACUUGGAAAUAUAAAGGAUAUGUUAAGGAAGUCCAUAUUCCAUAAUAUUCCUGUUAAUAGAAUCUAUGUCCUACAUUAUCUAAAAUUGCAGGUAUGCUUUCAUUGGGAUGAGACUUCUGUAUUUUUUUUCUCUCUCAGAGCAGUGUGGUUAUGAGAGAGAUUGCCAAGAAAUUAAAAGCAUGGUCAUUAAAAGCAAUGAACCAGGUAUAUGUUUUAGAGAAAUAAAGCUUGGGCUGCAGCCAUCUUUUCCUUCUCCCCCCUCAUCAGGCUCCUCCAGGAAUUUCUGGAAGCACAGAAGCUCAAUCCCCUUGUAUCUUCAAAGAGAGAACUACACUGCUUGGGAUAAAACAUAGUAAAAAUAAUUAAAAGGAGAAUAAAAUGGCAUUAUUCACAGUUCUCUACUAGUUCUCAAAUUUCUAUGAAUUCUAUAUAAAAAUCCCCCUUGCACUUCCACAUAAAUGGCAAGGGGGAUGCUAACACAUUUAAAGUAAUGUCAAAUGUGUUGUUUGUGUGUGUGUGUUUAGUAUGGAGAUGUCACGAAGAGCUGGAUGCUGUGUCCUUUAUAAAUCUGGUUUGCCUGUCUUCUCAGCAUGCCAUAUUGGAGAGAUUUUGCUACCAUUAGUGCUUGCCUGUGUGGGCAUUUUGGUACUCCAAAGACUAGGAACUGCCAGUGGCCUGGAAAUGCAACUACAUCAACUGGUGGUCCAGCGCUGGUUGAAUCAGUUCUCAGUAAAUGCAGUGGCAGGAGCUGUUCCAGUUGCUCUACACAAAAGGGUCAUCAUAUAUCAGAAAAGGUUUGAAGGCAUACAACAACAACAACAGCAACAAUGGAAGACAGUCUGCAUUUAUCUUACUAUUUUACAGAUUCUAAUUUUUCUAGAAAACAGUAAGGCUCAACUCUGCAUUGUGAUCUGAUCCUCUGUGCUAACCACCUGUCAUUAACCAAUAUAUAAUACAGCUCCUGUCUUCUGCAGUUCUAUUUGUGCUUUGACAAUAAUACUCUGAAAUUGAGGGAUCGGGUGGUUUUACUUACACCUUACGCAUUACAAUAAAGAAUGGGCUGUCUCACUGUGUUUUCAGACAGAAUAGCAUAUGGCUAAGGAAUAUGCUAUUUAGCUUAAAAUUGGGGCAUAUGGUGCUUUCAGCAUCUGACUUCUGCAAUGCUCAUAUUACAUUGACAGCAUGACAAGGAUGCAUUUUUGGAUGUGUUGAUAUUCUAGAUCUUCAGUUCAUCUCUCUGUGUGUUAUUGUUGUUGUUUUACUUUUAUGGGUAUAGGGAAUGAAUUAAUCUUCCUAGAAUUUCACUAAAGGAUAUAUUUGGACAUACAAAUAUACCUCAGUUAAUGAUGUACACAUGUUUCUGGGCAUUACUUCUUUAACAGAAAUUUUGGUGCCAGAGGCAGAAAUAACAUAGAAAGAAUAAGGAUAAGUUAUUGUAUCAGGAAAAAGAUAAGUGCCUAUAGCAAACUUUUUACUAACAGCUAACAUGCACAUGUGAAAUGAAACAAUCAGAUUAAGUAAAGCGUGCAUAAAUAAACCAAAACAUUUUGAACCUUUUAGAGACCACUCAAAGGCUGCAGGCAAGUACACACAGAUACAGUAAGACUGGCUACAGCAGAAUACUGUGCUUUCCCAGCUCAAGAUUAUUACAUUGUUUACUGAGUCCUGUGCCAGAAGAUAGGUGGGAUAUAUAGGUAAAUAGAAUAUAUAAAUACUGCAGACACCCUGCUACAAGCCAACACCAAAAGUCUGGAUUUCACCAGCCAUUCUUCACCACCUGCCCAGUGUGAAUGCUACUUUAAAAAGUCCAGCUAGGACAAGUAGCAAGUAUACUACAGGGCAAGUAUAGAAGCAAACAAAUGAACAUUAUGUUAGCUGGCAGUCUAACAUCAAAGAGGUUUCUAGUCUUUCUUUUUUUUGUAAGGUGCAUUGGGUUUCAUGUCAGGAGAAAGAUAGGAUAUAAAUAAAAGAGAUAAAUAGUUUUUUUUCUAUAUAUCAUAAAUGGUCUAGGAAGCAUAUUUUAGAUGAGCACAAAAGGGUUGAACCUGAACCUUGCAGUAUGGAAGCAGUGAUAACUGGAUGGCAACGUAAAUUUUGAGGAGGUGUGGCUGAAUCCCCAUUAGAAGUGGCUCUUGCCUAUACUUAUAGUUUUACAGGUUGAAAUUGUAGCCAGGCAGCACUUCCCACCUUCUCAAUCUGGAAAAACAAUUUGGGCAGCACUUUUUGUUCUAAUGAGGAUCUGUCAAAGUAUAUUAAUGUCUCUGUCAGAUUAAAACUGGACUACUGAAUGAGCUGUAGACCUGAACACGAGAACUGGUUUAAAGCUUUCACUGUUGAUGCAGAAUAUGGCACUGAUCUGUGACACCCCCUUUAAACCCAUUUUAGGGUUCUCCUUUAUCAUACUGGCUCCCUGUUCUUAUUUUGAGGGCAUAAUUCUAAGGAUUGUUUGUAAUCGUAAAAGGUUUAAUUAGCUUUUGUCUAAGCUUCUUUAAGUACCACUUUUUGUUACGAAGACACCCUGUUAAUGAUAACAUCUGCAGUAUAAUUUGUUCUUAUUUCAGGUUCAGAAAGCAAGGAUAGGGUCAGCUCAACUUUCUGCUCAACUUUCCCCCCUGUUAUAGACCUACUGAGCCUAAAGCCUGAGCACUACCUGCUUGUAUUAUAAGGCCAGCACUGGAUGAGGAAAUGAAUUUCACUUCUGAUCUUUUCCUUUGAAACCCCUCACCUAUUUAUCUAAAAUAAAUGUGAGAACUUUUAAAAAAUUGUAUGGAAAAGGCCAAAGUUGUAAAGGUAGUAAAACCAUAGUGAAAUCUCCCAGCACCUAAAUCAGUGCUCUUUUCAGACCAGGGACUCCCUUGGAAUCAAAGGCUGCAGCAUGAGCCAGUAUGGUUUGAAUGCUGGACUACAAUUCUGGGAGACUAGUAGUCAAAUCCCUGUUCAACCACUGGGUGACUUUGGGCAAGUCACACUCUCCCAGCCUCAGAAGAAGGCAAAGACAAACCCUUUCUGAAUAAAUCUUGCCAAGAAAACCCCAGGAUAGGGUUGCCAUAAGUCAGUCAUUUUAAAGGCACAUAACAAUAACAUAAAAUCAAAAUCCCAAGCACUUAGUGUACAGAUCCCAUGUAUCCAGGGGCAGGGGGAAUAGCUGAUUUGGAAAUGUUGUCCUUUUUUGGACUACAGUUCCAAGAAUCUGCAAUCCAGCAUGGUCAGCAACCAUACUGGCUGAAGGAUCUGCAAAGUGUAAUAUUCAAAAAUAACAUUUCUAAGCUCAGGCUGCAGGGAGUACACUUUUUAAAGAAAAGCUAUGUUAAAAUGACAUCUCAAUCAUUCACCAUCAGACAAUAAAUCCAUACUCAAUAUUAACUUCCAGUCAACACUGAUCAUUCUUAUGCCAUCUGUACUUCAGCUGUGUCACAAACACAAAAGAACUAAAAGUAUAUCAUUAAUGAAUGCAGCUAUGUGUCGCUCUGUUAAAUAUGUGCAGGUCUAUGUAAAAGCAAUACCUCCCACAAAUGACUAAGACAAAGCUGGUUGUAUUUCAGUCCGAAAAGGAAAUGGGAUCUAGCAGCACAUUUAAGACUGAUUUAUUUUAACAGAAACUUCCAGGUAUUUCAAUUCAAUUCCUCACAGAGAUGUCUCUAAGGAACAUGGGGGGUGCAGAGCACAGUGGGUGACACCCAGUAGGGUGUACACCCAGAAGGACUGGUGUGGCUACUGGGUGAGAGAGAAAGGGUGUUGCUUCUCUUUCCUGAUCAUCCAACAGUUACGUCGGACCCCGAAUGGUGGCUCCAGAGGCAGCAGUGCCCCCCGCGUCAGUGGUUUGGACAGCCAGAGGUCUGGCAGGGAGGGAGGGCAAGGCAGUUGCGCUCCCCAUCGGGCGACACCACCCUUAGUGAUACCACUACUUCCUCACAUCCAUUAAUAACUCCAAUCUGUACUCCCUCAAUGCAUUUGAGAAAAAAGCUAAAUACUGUAAAUCAGUUGGUCUUAAGAGUGCUGCCUCACUUUCCUUUUUCCUCACACAUGUGACCUGUAAUCUACUGAGGUUCCUAAAAGACAAAGAGAUGAUAAAAUAAAAGAUGAGAUUCAGA